UCCUGCGAUGGUCUAGUGGCUAGGAUUGCGGGCUCUCACCGCGCUGGCCGGGUUCGAUUCCCGGUCAGGGAA
RNAcentral lists this transfer RNA (72 nucleotides) under Perca fluviatilis (European perch). RNAcentral describes it as "tRNA-Glu". Lineage: Eukaryota; Metazoa; Chordata; Actinopteri; Perciformes; Percidae. The record is from RNAcentral.